This 148-nucleotide non-coding RNA is filed under the name Homo sapiens (human). Lineage: Eukaryota; Metazoa; Chordata; Mammalia; Primates; Hominidae. The record is from Rfam by way of RNAcentral.
GCUGGGCGUGGUGGUGCGCGCCUGUAAUCCCAGCUACUUGGGAGGCUAAGGCAGGAGAAUUGCUUGAACCCAGGAAGCAGAGGUUGCAGUGAGCCAAGAUCGUGCCGCUGCACUCCAGCCUGGGUGACAGAGCGAAACUCUGUCUCAA